UAUUUAUAUAGUUCUGCAAAAGGGUUGAAUCCGACGCCUCUAGGAGGCUACUAUAGGCUCUCCUUCUCAACUCCUACUCAAUACGUCCACGGCGUGCAGAACGGUAACUUGUCGCCUAGAUAUCCAAGUUUGGGUACACAGGAAAACCCACCCCCUUGGGCGGAUGGGCGGCAAGGCUGAAUUGAGAGGG
Anopheles epiroticus is the source of this 190-nucleotide non-coding RNA. The record is from Rfam. Lineage: Eukaryota; Metazoa; Arthropoda; Insecta; Diptera; Culicidae.